RNAcentral lists this long non-coding RNA (919 nucleotides) under Rattus norvegicus (Norway rat). RNAcentral describes it as "long non-coding RNA NONRATT015486". The record is from RNAcentral. Lineage: Eukaryota; Metazoa; Chordata; Mammalia; Rodentia; Muridae.
GGAGGUGGGGGUAAUGAGUGGAGAAAGCAGGGCGCGCUGAAGAGCUUGGGGUCCCCAGCACCACGGGAGCCGGGAGGACCGCGCGGCUGGAGCUAGCGGUGUAGCAGCAGUCCCCGCGUGGCGCAGCGCGCGGGGACGCUGGGACCGCCCAGAUCUUCCACUGUGCCCGGCGCCCUCGGCUGCUGCUUCUUCCUUCAGCCCGGGCGCGAGCGGCUCCUAAGUCGAGUGCGCCAUGUCCGGGGCUGGAUAGCAGCCCGGCCGCCCGCCGGCCCGCCAGCCCGCCCUCGGAGCCACCCGCCAGCGGGCCGGCUGGGGAGUCCCAGGGCAGGCAGAUGCAGUGAGUGAAGGGGGGGCCAUGGCAGAGGAGCGGCCUCCCCGGUUGGUGGAUUACUUCGUGGUGGCUGGGCUUGCAGGAAAUGGAGCACCUAUACCUGAGGAGACGUGGGUUCCUGAGCCUACUGGGCCCCUGCGCCCUCCCCGGCCAGCUGAACCUAUCACAGAUGUGGCAGUCAUCGCUAGGGCACUGGGCGAAGAGGUGCCCCAGGGCUAUACAUGCAUUCAGACUUCUGCUGGUGGUCACCCCUUGGAGCUCAGUGCUGGGCUCCUGGGUGGAACUCAACCAGUCAUCUGCUACCGCAGGGGGCGUGACAAGCCCCCCCUUGUUGAGCUGGGGUAUGUAUCUCUAUCCAUGCUGGCACUAGAGGAAGCUGGGAGCUACCUUUGAAUGAGCUAAGAAGAGAUGGGGAUGUGGGUCAAGAGGAGGAGUAUGGGAACAGCAGCAGAAUAGGCUAGAGGUCAAGAGGAGGGGCUCACUGCUUUCACUGCUGCUUGCUAGCCAGCAAACGUUUCUUCAUCUGCAAGAUGAGGAUAGUGGCUCCUUUCUGGCUGAUUCAGAACAUUAAAUGAAAUAACCCAUGUG